CGGCGGACGGGUGAGUAACGCGUGGGUAACCUGCCUCAUACAGGGGGAUAACAGUUAGAAAUGACUGCUAAUACCGCAUAAGACCACAGCACCGCAUGGUGCGGGGGUAAAAACUCCGGUGGUAUGAGAUGGACCCGCGUCUGAUUAGCUGGUUGGUAAGGUAACGGCCUACCAAGGCGACGAUCAGUAGCCGACCUGAGAGGGUGACCGGCCACAUUGGGACUGAGACACGGCCCAA
This 238-nucleotide ribosomal RNA is filed under the name uncultured bacterium. RNAcentral describes it as "partial 16S ribosomal RNA". It matches the Rfam family "Bacterial small subunit ribosomal RNA", at positions 96 to 334 of the family's 1533-position model. The record is from RNAcentral.